GUCUUCCAGCCUCAGCCUCUAGCGUCACUAAGUUUUCCAUUGCUGUAACAAAAGCUCCUUAGGAAGAACAGAGGCUUACUUACCUCAUGGUUUUGAAGCCUGAAAGUCCACACAGCACGACCCAGGCUCUGGAGAGGGCUGCCAUCACCUCUCAGCAGAUGGCAAUGGCAGAAGCGCAUACAGGGGCAAGUGACCACAUGGCCACACAGAUGCCAGCAGGACAGGUCCCAGGUGCCCUCUAGGGCAUGGCUCCAAUGGGCCUAACCCUAAAGGUCCCAUCACCAACAUCAUGACUCCCAAGACCAAGGGCCCAACCUAGGGACGUUUGGGAGGACAAGCUUCAGGGUAGCAGGCUCCAGUUAUCAGAGCCAGGGACACAGGGCAGCAUAGUGCUGGUGGGGGACGGGAGAGGUCUGUGCUGGAUCCUGAAGGCUGAGUAAUGCUCAGAAGGAGGGAGGGAAGUCUCCAGGGCAGAAGAGACUGCAUGACCACACGGGGUCAUCUGGGAUCUGUGUAGUGAACGCAGAGUCACCACACAGAACGCACCGUGCUCUGCCACUGAACCACACCCCCAGCCUUUUUCAAAUUUUGAAACAAGACCUCACUUUUCUGCUGUCCUUAAUAAAGCUUCUACUUUUAAUUUGCAGAUGCUAGCCUCAAACUUGUAAUCCUAUAGGGGUGUAGGCAAGGCGGCCAGAGGGUGGUCAUCGUCCUGGGUGACCCAAGGCCAAGCACAGCACACUGGAGGAUCCCCGUGUGGUUUCGUGAGCCACCUGAAGAGUCUGCCAUUUAUCUUGCUGUCUGGGAGGCUCUUCAAGAUGACCAGGCAGAUCUCUAUUGGGGAAGGAGGGAGCGAACUGCAGCCUCCAGGUAAAUUCAUAUCCAAUUAAGGUGAACCAGGUGGUUGUUAAAAGACUGUCUGAUGGAUGGCAAAUCCCAUAUACAUAUGGAAUAGUCCAAAGGCAGUCGAUAGCCCAGUAUGGUACAGUAACGCACACCUGUGAUCCCAGCCGCUGGGGAGGCUGAGGCGGGAGGAUUACAAGUUUGAGGGCAGCAUCUGCAAAUUAGUGAGGACCUGUUUCAAAAUUUUUAAAAGGCUGGGGGUGUGGUUCAGUGACAAAGCACUCGCCUAGCGGUUUCAGAAUCAGUGAGCCAGUUUCUCUCUCAGGGACCAUGGACCCUCAGAGGUCACCUGUGGGAGAACAAAGCCUCUGUAUAUACUUUCUUAUUCCAGAGGCAGUGGGAGGAGCCUAACCCCUGGUGUGACAGAAGAGUCAUCCUGGGCCCAAAGCUGGUGGGUAUGCUUUCUGCACAGUCUUAGGACUUGGGGGAGCUUGGAGGCCUCCCGCCUGAGCUCUCUGCCAGGACCUCAGCUGGUGUGGGACGUCAGGGUGAAGCCAGAUUUACAGAUAGGUAGAUAAUGUAGUUAGGUAAAUCGAGUCUAAUAUGGAGUAAAAUCAAGAAGGAAGGCCAUAUUGAGAAUGGAGUCCAGGAAAAGGGGGAAUUGAAAAAGUCCCCAAGGCCCCGAGCCCAUCCCAAGGAAAUGUUAAUGAAGCAGCUCCCAGCAGCAAAGAGAUGCUAAUCCAAAAGCCCUUCCUGCCCAGAUUACUUCCGCUCAUCUGUGCCUCACCUUUUGGGCCUUUCCCCUUACAUUUAAUCAGUGCAAGAUAACAGAACGAAGGACAGAAAUGCGGAAAAUCUGAAAGUAAGCCUUAGCUAUAAAAGAGGGAAGACCACCCCCCUUCCAUGGAUUCCAUCUCUUGGGUCCCCUUCUUCCUUUGGGGAGGGGAGAAGUCUUUUCUGCUGCCCUUAAUAAAGCUUCUACUUUCCACUCUGACCUUGCCUGGGCGUGCUUCUCUGGUGUUGUACUUCAGCAUUGGGGAAGCAGGGACUCCUCACAGGUAAACAGGGUAACAAGGGCACACAGCACGUCUGGGCACCUGUGCUUCAGCAGGCCCGGAGAGCCCCAGCACUGGACCACCUCCCACAGCCCAUCUUCUCCCAGCUCAGAGAGCACAAGCUGCCAGCACAGGCUCCCUAGUGGCAUCGCCCACUCCGGCUCUGGCGGAAUCCUUACGCAAAUGCAAAAUGGGAGAAGGCGGACCAGCGAAGGUGGGGACGAAGGCUAGAGAAAGG
RNAcentral lists this long non-coding RNA (2136 nucleotides) under Marmota monax (woodchuck). The record is from RNAcentral. Lineage: Eukaryota; Metazoa; Chordata; Mammalia; Rodentia; Sciuridae.